AACAUUAAUGAACAUAGGUCGAACAUGAUCUGACCGCUCUAGUAGUAAGUCAUCGUCGGAAAACACAAUGCACGAAGCCCUAUCAGCUGUUAGAAAUGGAAUAAGUCCAUUUGGGGUGGUAGUAGUAUCAACUCUAAUCUGACUAAGAGCUUUGAUCAAUGCAUCUCUAUGUGUGCUAGAUGUGGCCAAUAGGCUCCAAAUGGAUAUGCGAG
Molecule: long non-coding RNA, 212 nt
Filed under: Vitis vinifera (wine grape)
Lineage: Eukaryota; Viridiplantae; Streptophyta; Magnoliopsida; Vitales; Vitaceae
Description: long non-coding RNA (VVIN_LNC007038)
Source: RNAcentral